GUGGCUGUUUGUUUCCGUGUGUGUGUUUGUCGCCGCACAGUACUGUUUCGGUUUGGUUAUGGCACAUAUUCGUUUAUUGUUUUUAUUUAUUUAAUAGUGUUCAGUGCUUUUCUUAUUAAAAUCGUCAUGAACACUUACCACGCCGCAUCUUGGUGCGAUCCUUACUCCUCUUCAGACGAAGAGGAAAUCUGCCGUUCCAAUUUCAACCGUCCCUGAAGGACAAUACAGAAGAGGCACACGAGUAUUUGCUCUUAUUCCUUCCCUUUCUAUAAUGUAUUUUGCAAUAAAAUUAGCAAGUGUAGCAAGAUCAUUGCUUUACUCUACUAGGACUCGAGACCACAGCAGCGAUCCUGCUCUUGCCCUACCUCUUCAAUGAGGACCCGAGUGGCCUUUAUGUCCGUGACAAGAUUUCACCGCUCCACACUCCUUUACUGCACAUCGACGGAAAUCCAUUUCACCAUUGAGAGUGAAAUCCCGCUGGCCUUUGAUGGGGAGAACAUGCACGCCCUAGAGGACAUUCCCAUGGGACUUGUGGCUCUGCUAGGGCUUUUAUUUCCCAAAGAGUUGUGAGAAACACGUAUAUUCUUAAAUUACUGUGUUCUGAGGAUAAGAGAUGUUGGGGUGAAGUUACCAGGGCCGGUCAUAAAGAUGGCAAACUUCCUAACAUAACCAAGUGGUUUAUGGGCAAGUGGUCUAGGACACAGACACACUCAAGCAGAAAACAUCUAUAUUUAGCAUUGUCUACAAUAUUGUUAGUUUACCUAUGCUUCAUUUUUUAUGUAUCUUGUUUUUAUUGUACAUUAUUUAAAAUUGUAAAAAAAAUGUAAUAAAGCACUAUACAAAGUAAA
Long non-coding RNA from Oncorhynchus kisutch (coho salmon), 848 nucleotides. RefSeq lists it as uncharacterized. Lineage: Eukaryota; Metazoa; Chordata; Actinopteri; Salmoniformes; Salmonidae. The transcript has 2 exons. The record is from RefSeq and is a predicted model, not a curated record.